RNAcentral lists this ribosomal RNA (460 nucleotides) under uncultured bacterium. Its description in RNAcentral is "partial 16S ribosomal RNA". It matches the Rfam family "Bacterial small subunit ribosomal RNA", at positions 338 to 795 of the family's 1533-position model. The record is from RNAcentral.
CCUACGGGCGGCAGCAGUGAGGAAUAUUGGUCAAUGGCCGGAAGCCUGAACCAGCCAUGCCGCGUGAAGGUCAGUGCCCUAUGGGCGUUAAACUUCUUUUGUGCGGGAGCAAUAAUGGGCACGUGUGGCCAGACGGGAGUACCGUACGAAUAAGCAUCGGCUAACUCCGUGCCAGCAGCCGCGGUGAUACGGGGGAUGCAAGCGUUAUCCGGAUUUAUUGGGGUUAAAGGGUGCGUAGGCUGUGAGGUAAGUCAGCGGUGACAUGCCUCCGCUCAACGGGGUGAAGUGCCAUUGAUACUGCCUUGCUGGAAUGCGGAUGACGUGGGAGGAAUGUGUGGUGUAGCGGUGAAAUGCAUAGAUAUCACACAGAACACCGAUUGCGAAGGCAGCUCACGAAUCCGCGAUUGACGCUGAUGCACGAAAGCGUGGGUAUCAAACAGGAUUAGAUACCCGAGUAGUC